This 253-nucleotide ribosomal RNA is filed under the name uncultured bacterium. RNAcentral describes it as "partial 16S ribosomal RNA". It matches the Rfam family "Bacterial small subunit ribosomal RNA", at positions 524 to 776 of the family's 1533-position model. The record is from RNAcentral.
UACGGAGGGUGCAAGCGUUGUCCGGAUUUAUUGGGUUUAAAGGGUGCGUAGGUGGCUAUUUAAGUCAGUGGUGAAAGCCUGCAGCUUAACUGUAGGACUGCCAUUGAUACUGAAUAGCUUGAGUACUGAUGAGGUAGGCGGAAUUGAUAGUGUAGCGGUGAAAUGCAUAGAUAUUAUCAAGAACACCGAUUGCGAAGGCAGCUUACUAAGGAGUUACUGGCACUGAGGCACGAAAGCGUGGGGAUCAAACAGG